This 101-nucleotide small RNA is filed under the name Sinorhizobium meliloti 2011. RNAcentral describes it as "putative ncRNA". Lineage: Bacteria; Pseudomonadati; Pseudomonadota; Alphaproteobacteria; Hyphomicrobiales; Rhizobiaceae. The record is from RNAcentral.
CGUUGGCGAAAGCUUCGAUAAGAACGGCUGGCGUUUCGAAGUCGUUGACCUCAAUGGCAGGCGGAUAGACAAGAGACUGGUCAGACCUGAACAAUCAGAUC